Molecule: ribosomal RNA, 885 nt
Filed under: Triticum aestivum (bread wheat)
Lineage: Eukaryota; Viridiplantae; Streptophyta; Magnoliopsida; Poales; Poaceae
Description: partial small subunit ribosomal RNA
Source: RNAcentral
AUGGGGUGCAAUAGUAGUCUGGCCAUGGUCUCCAUCCUGCAGCUGUGCUUGAUCAUCGGUGCCCCCGCCGCUGGCCCGAGCAAGAUGGUGAGGCUGGUGCCGGCGAUGUACGUGUUCGGGGACUCCACGCUGGACGUGGGCAACAACAACUACCUGCCGGGGCCGAACGUGCCCAGGGCCAACACGCCCCUCAACGGCGUCGACUUCCCCGGCGGCGCCCGGGCGACGGGGCGGUUCAGCAACGGCUACCACGUUGCCGACUUCAUCGCAAUGAGACUGGGACUGAAGGAGAGCCCGCCGGCGUACCUGUCGCUCGCGCCACGCCCCACCGCCCUGCUCCUCAGCGCUCUCGCCACAGGCGUGAGCUAUGCUUCUGCCGGAGCAGGCAUCCUGGACUCAACCAACGCGGGGAACAAUAUCCCACUGUCGAAGCAGGUGCGGUACAUGGAGUCAACCAAGGCCGCCAUGGAGGCCAGGGUGGGCAAAGCCGCGGCGCGCCUCCUGCUCUCGAGGUCCUUCUUCCUCUUCAGCGUCGGCAGCAACGACAUCUCCGUGUUCGCGGCCGCGCCGGGCGACGUCGCCGCGCUCUACGCCAAACUCAUCUCCGGCUACUCCGCGGCCAUCACGGACCUGUACGGCAUGGGCGCGAGGAAGUUCGGGAUCAUCAACGUGGGGCUUCUGGGCUGCGUGCCGGUGGCGCGGGCGCUCAGCGCGACUGGCGCGUGCAACGACGGGCUCAACCAGCUGUCGGCCGGCUUCAACGACAAGCUCAGGUCCCUCAUGGCCGGCCUCGCCGCCCGGCUGCCGGGCCUCGACUACUCCCUCGCCGACAACUACAACCUCUCGCAAGUCACCUUCGCCAACCCGGCGGCAUCCGGUACGUGA